Molecule: ribosomal RNA, 673 nt
Filed under: uncultured bacterium
Lineage: Bacteria
Description: bacterial SSU rRNA
Rfam family: Bacterial small subunit ribosomal RNA
Source: RNAcentral
GGCUUAGAGUUUGAUCAUGGCUCAGGAUGAACGCUAGCUACAGGCUUAACACAUGCAAGUCGCGGGGCAGCAUGGUCUUAGCUUGCUAAGGCUGAUGGCGACCGGCGCACGGGUGAGUAACGCGUAUCCGACCUGCCCUCCACCCGGGGAUAGCCUUUCGAAAGAAAGAUUAAUACCCGAUGGCACACGUCUCCUGCCUGGGAGGCGUGUUAAAGGUCCCGACCGGUGGCGGAUGGGGAUGCGUUCCAUUAGUUAGUUGGCGGGGUAACGGCCCACCAAGACGACGAUGGAUAGGGGUUCUGAGAGGAAGGUCCCCCACAUUGGAACUGAGACACGGUCCAAACUCCUACGGGAGGCAGCAGUGAGGAAUAUUGGUCAAUGGCCGGAAGGCUGAACCAGCCAAGUAGCGUGAAGGACGACGGCCCUACGGGUUGUAAACUUCUUUUAUAAGGGAAUAAAGUUGCGUACGUGUACGCAUUUGCAUGUACCUUAUGAAUAAGCAUCGGCUAACUCCGUGCCAGCAGCCGCGGUAAUACGGAGGAUGCGAGCGUUAUCCGGAUUUAUUGGGUUUAAAGGGAGCGCAGACGGGAGGGUAAGUCAGCUGUGAAAGUUUGCGGCUCAACCGUAAAAUUCCAGUUGAAACUGUCUUUCUUGAGUGCGGCAGAGGCAGGCG